Populus nigra (black poplar) is the source of this 400-nucleotide long non-coding RNA. RefSeq lists it as uncharacterized. Lineage: Eukaryota; Viridiplantae; Streptophyta; Magnoliopsida; Malpighiales; Salicaceae. The transcript has 2 exons. The record is from RefSeq and is a predicted model, not a curated record.
ACGACGCAGAAAUUGAAAUCACAAGUGAUAAAUGUCUUAUAAGGGGUCAAGCGGCAUUUCUGGGCGAGGACUGCCCCACGGGGAUAUCAAUACGGUCGUUCUCAGAAAAUGGUGUAAAAUGCACCGAUUUUGUUAUUCCACGAGAAGUCCAUGUGGUUGAGGUUGCCACCCCUAGUGUUGCUCACCGUGCCACCAGUCCCCGACAUUCUGACUCCUCCUUCCAGCACAAUCCGAAAAAGCCCCACAAAAAGAAGCAGCGUAAGCAGGCAUCCCUGGAGUAGUAUGUUAACUUAAUUUGCUGUUAACUUAUGUGUUUUAAUUGAACAGCUAUGUGUAAUAUUUUAUUAACGUAUCUCUGUUAACUCUGUAAUAUCUAAUUGUUAAUUUCUUGCGUUAAUUA